This 372-nucleotide ribosomal RNA is filed under the name uncultured bacterium. Its description in RNAcentral is "bacterial SSU rRNA". It matches the Rfam family "Bacterial small subunit ribosomal RNA", at positions 525 to 896 of the family's 1533-position model. The record is from RNAcentral.
ACAGAGGGGGCAAGCGUUGUCCGGAAUUACUGGGCGUACAGCGCACGCAGGUGGCCUGGCAAGUGUGGUGUGAAAGCCCCGCGCUUAACGCGGGGAGGCCAGCACAGACUGCCAAGCUGGAGGGGUGCAGAGGGUAGGGGAAUUGCCGGUGUAGUGGUGAAAUGCGUAGAGAUCGGCAGGAACACCAAGGACGAAGGUACCUACCUGGGCACCACCUGACACUCAUGUGCGACCGCGUGGGGAGCGAACCGGAUUAGAUACCCGGGUAGUCCACGCCGUAAACGAUGGAUGCUCGGUGUUUGGCGGGGAAACCUGCUGGGCACCUCAGCUGACGCGUAAGCAUCCCGCCUGGGAACUACGAGCGCAAGCUUA